RNAcentral lists this ribosomal RNA (499 nucleotides) under uncultured Glomeromycotina. RNAcentral describes it as "partial small subunit ribosomal RNA". It matches the Rfam family "Eukaryotic small subunit ribosomal RNA", at positions 591 to 1092 of the family's 1831-position model. The record is from RNAcentral. Lineage: Eukaryota; Fungi; Glomeromycota.
CCAAUAGCGUAUAUUAAAGUUGCUGCAGUUAAAAAGCUCGUAGUUGAAUUUCGGGACCAAUAUGUCGGUCGUGCCUCGGUACGUACUGGCAUCGUUGGUUUCUCCCUUCUGAAGAACCAUGAUGUCAUUCAUUUGGUGUCGUGGGGAAUCAGGACUGUUACUUUGAAAAAAUUAGAGUGUUUAAAGCAGGCUCACGCUUGAAUACAUUAGCAUGGAAUAAUGAAAUAGGACGUUUGAUUCUAUUUUGUUGGUUUCUAGGAUCGACGUAAUGAUUAAUAGGGAUAGUUUGUGGCAAUAGUAUUCAAUUGUCAGAGGUGAAAUUCUUGGAUUUAUUGAAGACUAACUACUGCGAAAGCAUUUGCCAAGGAUGUUUUCAUUAAUCAAGAACGAAAGUUAGGGUAUCGAAGACGUUCAGAUACCGUCGUAGUCUUAACCAUAAACUAUGCCGACUAGGGAUCGGAUGAUGUUAAUUUUUUAAUGACUCAUUCGGCGCCUUACG